RNAcentral lists this ribosomal RNA (429 nucleotides) under Bacteroidota bacterium. RNAcentral describes it as "Bacteroidetes bacterium partial 16S ribosomal RNA". It matches the Rfam family "Bacterial small subunit ribosomal RNA", at positions 355 to 776 of the family's 1533-position model. Lineage: Bacteria; Pseudomonadati; Bacteroidota. The record is from RNAcentral.
UAGGGAAUCUUCGGCAAUGGGGGGAACCCUGACCGAGCAACGCCGCGUGAGUGAAGAAGGUUUUCGGAUCGUAAAGCUCUGUUGUUAAGGAAGAACGAGUGUGAGAAUGGAAAGUUCAUACUGUGACGGUACUUAACCAGAAAGGGACGGCUAACUACGUGCCAGCAGCCGCGGUAAUACGUAGGUCCCGAGCGUUGUCCGGAUUUAUUGGGCGUAAAGCGAGCGCAGGCGGUUAGAUAAGUCUGAAGUUAAAGGCAGUGGCUCAACCAUUGUAGGCUUUGAAAACUGUUUAACUUGAGUGCAGAAGGGGAGAGUGGAAUUCCAUGUGUAGCGGUGAAAUGCGUGGAUAUAUGGAGGAACACCGGUGGCGAAAGCGGCUCUCUGGUCUGUAACUGACGCUGAGGCUCGAAAGCGUGGGGAGCGAACAGG